Molecule: ribosomal RNA, 253 nt
Filed under: uncultured bacterium
Lineage: Bacteria
Description: partial 16S ribosomal RNA
Rfam family: Bacterial small subunit ribosomal RNA
Source: RNAcentral
UACAGAGGUCUCAAGCGUUGUUCGGAAUUACUGGGUGUAAAGGGUUCGUAGGCGGUGUGGCAAGUCGGGAGUGAAAUCUCUGGGCUCAACCCAGAGACUGCUUCCGAAACUGCUGUGCUUGAGUGUGAGAGAGGCUCGUGGAAUUGCAGGUGUAGCGGUGAAAUGCGUAGAUAUCUGCAGGAACACCCGUGGCGAAAGCGGCGAGCUGGAUCACUACUGACGCUGAGGAACGAAAGCUAGGGGAGCAAACAGG